This 1788-nucleotide long non-coding RNA is filed under the name Piliocolobus tephrosceles (Ugandan red Colobus). RNAcentral describes it as "lncRNA (ENSPTEG00000013818.1)". The record is from RNAcentral. Lineage: Eukaryota; Metazoa; Chordata; Mammalia; Primates; Cercopithecidae.
AUGUGUAUCGAUUUAAGUGAUAGUAUUUGUAACAGUGUAAAUAAUAGUAUUAAUGAAAGUUUCAGUAGUAGUAUUGGUGACAAUCUUUCUAACACCAUGAAUAAUAUAAAAAAUAGUAUUAACAAUAUUAAUAACAAUUUUAAUAAUAACAUGAAUGAUAAAAGUAAUUCCAUAAAUCAAGGUUCUACAUUCAAAUCAGGUGGUAAUAAAAUAGCCAGUUUUGUAAAUUACGAUAAUAAUUUAGAGUUAAAAAAUAAAAAUGAUACCAAUAUAUAUAAUAAUAACUUAUCAAUAAUAAAUAAUAAAAAAGAAAAUGUAGAAAAAAAAAAUAUAGAACAAUAUAGAAAUGCAAAUGCUACAAAUAUUAAUAAAAUAACAAACGAAAAAACGAGCGAAACAGCAAAUGGAGUAACAAACGAAAAAACAUAUUACAACAAUAAUGGUAGAGAAAAUGAUAAAAAAUUAACUAACGAAAUGUUAGAAAGUAAAUCAAAUAUUUUGAAUUCAUCUGAUAAAUAUAAUUAUGAACAGUUAACUAACAGUAUAAAUAAUAAAAUAAAUGAUAAAAUGAAUAACCACAAUUUAAAUGAUAGUAUUAUUAAUAAAAAUAGUUCACCAAAACAUGAAAGUGAAAAAGGUAACAAACAUGGUAAACAAACAACAAGUAAUAAUAAAGACUUAACACGUAAAAGUAAUUCAAUAAAACAUCCAAAAAGUGAUAUAAAAAGAAUUAAUGAUAUGAACAAUUCAGAUAAAUAUAUGACAACAUCAGUUGAUAGUUUUGCAUCUGAAUUUUCAAACACAAUUAACCAAUUAAAAAAUAGUAUAUUGAAUGAAAAUGAAAGUUUAAUAGGUUCACAAUCUAAUUUAGAUGUAUCUAUAUACAGUAUUGCAGAAUCAAAAAAUCAAACAGAUUUAAUGAAAAGUUCAUUAAUAUAUAAAGAUAUUCAAAAAAAGUCAUCUUAUUAUUUAAAAGAAUCGAUUAAAAAUCAAAUGAAUAUAAAUAAUGUCACAUGUAAUGACAGAAACAGUUUCUCAAACAAUAAAAGUAAUUUACAUAUUAAUUCGAUUCACAAUAAUAUAAAUGAAAAUAAUAUGAACGGGUCAUAUAAUAAUAAGUUAGACAAAUCAAACAAAUAUUUAAUAGUAUCGAAAUAUAAUAAUAGUAAUUCUAAAACAAUAAAUAACGAAUUAACAUGUUCUAACAAUAAGUCAAAACAUGAAAUAUUAAAAUUGAGUAAUAACAAUACGAGUUAUAAUAAUAAUCAUGAUUCAAAAAGUCAUGUGUUGAAAUCUUCAAACAACGUAACAAAUACAAACAACUUAAGAGAUACAAACAACUUAAGAGAUACAAACAAUUUAACAGAAUCACAUUUGAGAAGCUCGAAAAAUAAUUAUAAUAAAAAAGAAUUAAACAAUUCAACUACCUCAUUAUAUGAUAAUAAACAAAAUGUAAACAGAAAUGUCGUAUUAAAUGAAUACAGUUUAUCCAACAAAAAUAAAAACAAUUAUAAUUUAAAUAAAAGUGAAGAUAUAUACAAAGAAAAAAAUAUUAAUUCUCAUGAACAAUUUAAUAAAUCAAUAAAUAAUGAAGAAGAACAAAAUAUAAACUUAAAUUUAUUACACCAAUCUAUAAAAAAUAUACAAGAACAAUGGAAGCAUAAAAUGUCAGAGAGUACUAAUACUUUAUUAAAUGCUAAAAGUAAAAAGUACAAUACACAGAAUGUUAAUUCGAAUUUUGAAAAUGGUACUAGUACGAAUGAAUUUAAGGAUAGUGAACUGAAACAU